GACGAACGCUGGCGGCGUGCUUAACACAUGCAAGUCGAACGGAAAGGCCCUGCUUUUGUGGGGUGCUCGAGUGGCGAACGGGUGAGUAACACGUGAGUAACCUGCCCUUGACUUUGUGAUAACUUCAGGAAACUGGGGCUAAUACCGGAUAUGAGCUCCUGCUGCAUGGUGGGCGUUGGAAAGUUUCGGCGGUUGGGGAUGGACUCGCGGCUUAUGAGCUUGUUGGUGGGGUAGUGGCUUACCAAGGCUUUGACGGGUAGCCGGCCUGAGAGGGUUACCGGCCACAUUGGGACUGAGAUACGGCCCAGACUCCUACGGGAGGCAGCAGUGGGGAAUAUUGCACAAUGGGCGGAAGCCUGAUGCAGCAACGCCGCGUGCGGGAUGACGGCCUUCGGGUUGUAAACCGCUUUCGCCUGUGACGAAGCGUGAGUGACGGUAAUGGGUAAAGAAGCACCGGCUAACUACGUG
RNAcentral lists this ribosomal RNA (468 nucleotides) under uncultured bacterium. Its description in RNAcentral is "partial 16S ribosomal RNA". It matches the Rfam family "Bacterial small subunit ribosomal RNA", at positions 28 to 507 of the family's 1533-position model. The record is from RNAcentral.